This is a long non-coding RNA of Brienomyrus brachyistius, 865 nucleotides long. RefSeq lists it as uncharacterized. Lineage: Eukaryota; Metazoa; Chordata; Actinopteri; Osteoglossiformes; Mormyridae. The transcript has 2 exons. The record is from RefSeq and is a predicted model, not a curated record.
CUCAGUUUAUAGCGUGUUUAUCUUAACAUGAACAAUCAGGAGCGUUUAUAUUGGACUUAAAGAGAUUUAUAACUUCUACAUUCACAAAAGGUCUAUACUGUGAAGGACCGGAUGCUUCCGGUCGCAACUAGUUUCAAACUUGUGCGCAUACGCAGAGGUCAGUGGAAGGCUCUAUUUAUCUGUUUAAAGAAAUAAAAGGUUUGCAGAUCAGAACUGAUGGGAUCAUCUGAGAAUUGAUACAAGAAAACCCUACGAAGUCAGAGAAGGACUAAGACACAUAUUAAGAUACUCAGAUUCCAUCAGAUACCAUAUUGACCAUCUUGUCUGAAGUAAGUUCAAUGUAAUGAGCAACUGUUCCUUCAACAUUUUGAGAUGUCAAGUUUGCAGCAUUCAGGUGCCAUUUUUGUGACAGUAAAAAUAGCUGACUUUGAGUGGAGGGAGUAACAUAUGUUCUUAGAGGAAUGUCAUACGAGGAACGGUUACUUGAGCUAAAUCUGUUCAGUCUCAAGCAAAGGAGAUUGAGGGGGGGACAUGAUCCAGGUAUAUAAGAUUCUAACAGGUUUGGAUGCUGUUCAACCAAAUAGUUACUUCAGCAUUAGUUUAAAUACACGAACUCGUGGCCAUAGGUGGAAAUUAGCGGGAGAACAUUUCAAGCUGGAUUUAAGGAAGCACUUCUUUACGCAGCGUGUAGUCAGAGUAUGGAAUAGCCUUCCUGAUAAUGUAGUGCAAGCUGAAUCCUUGGGUUCCUUUAAAUCAGAGCUAGAUAAGAUUUUAACGACUCUGAGCUAUUAGUUUAGUUCUCCCCAAGCGAGCUUGAUGGGCCGAAUGGCCUCCUCUCGUUUGUAUAGUUCUUAUGUUCUUAUGU